GCGCGUUUAGCUCAGCGGGAGAGCGCUUCCCUGACACGGAAGAGGUCACUGGUUCAAUCCCAGUAUCGCGCA
Corynebacterium genitalium ATCC 33030 is the source of this 72-nucleotide transfer RNA. It matches the Rfam family "tRNA". From Rfam's summary of the family: Transfer RNA (tRNA) molecules are approximately 80 nucleotides in length. Their secondary structure includes four short double-helical elements and three loops (D, anti-codon, and T loops). The record is from Rfam. NCBI's taxonomy places the organism in Bacteria, Bacillati, Actinomycetota, Actinomycetes, Mycobacteriales, Corynebacteriaceae.